Molecule: long non-coding RNA, 396 nt
Organism: Dioscorea cayenensis subsp. rotundata (Guinea yam)
Lineage: Eukaryota; Viridiplantae; Streptophyta; Magnoliopsida; Dioscoreales; Dioscoreaceae
Exons: 3
Source: RefSeq, a predicted model, not a curated record
UUUCUUUGUCUUGUAAGGGAGGUUGCUAGCUAAAAGAUUUUUGAAACUUGGUUUUCAGCUGGGCUAUCUUUUCAACACUCUCUUUUCCGGCCAUCGUAGAUUGUUUUAGGGAGUGGCAUUGGAUCUCAUUUUUUGGGCUUAAGCUAAUAUCAGAUCUUGAGUGAUAGACCGGCGUGGAUCUUGAAAGAUUGUCUGUAGAUGUCUUAUCCUGUUGUAAAUUUUAAGUUCUUGUUAUUGUCUAUACAUCCCUGUAUUUUGUAUUUUGAACUUCUGUAUCCCGAUUUUGUGUACUUUGUAGAGUUUGUAAUCCUGUAACUCAGUUGGGUUAUUAUAGUUUUACCUGUCCUGGAUCAGAUUUUGAGGCCUUGCAGGCCUAUGGGGCUCACGCCUUGUGGG